GUCUAUGGCCAUACCACCCUGAACGCACCCAAUCUUGUCUGAUCUCAGAAGCUAAGCAGGGUCGGGCCUGGUUAGCACUUGGAUGGGAGAAGGAGAGGAGGACUUCUGGUUGGCUGGUUG
RNAcentral lists this ribosomal RNA (120 nucleotides) under Microcebus murinus (gray mouse lemur). The record is from RNAcentral. Lineage: Eukaryota; Metazoa; Chordata; Mammalia; Primates; Cheirogaleidae.